UUGAUCAGGCUUCCGCACUAGCACGGUGUCGAUAUGGUUGAAAUGGGGAAGCCUGGAUCCACCAGGUCUUUUAAGGAUCAAUGAAGCAGCAUAGGGGGGAAACGCAACAAGCAAAAUCUUCCCCAGGGUGCAGUAGUGGGAUAGUGCUUGUG
This 152-nucleotide non-coding RNA is filed under the name Stegodyphus mimosarum. The record is from RNAcentral. Lineage: Eukaryota; Metazoa; Arthropoda; Arachnida; Araneae; Eresidae.